This 477-nucleotide ribosomal RNA is filed under the name uncultured bacterium. RNAcentral's name for it is "partial 16S ribosomal RNA". It matches the Rfam family "Bacterial small subunit ribosomal RNA", at positions 28 to 506 of the family's 1533-position model. The record is from RNAcentral.
GAUGAACGCUGGCGGCGUGCUUAACACAUGCAAGUCGAGCGAGAAGUUUUGAAAAGAUUCUUCGGAUGAAAUUUAAAAUGGAAAGCGGCGGACGGGUGAGUAACGCGUAGGCAACCUGCCCCAUACAAAGGGAUAGCAUUUGGAAACGAAUAUUAAUACCUUAUGAAACUUACCUAGUGCAUGCUAGGUAGGUCAAAGAUUUAUCGGUAUGGGAUGGGCCUGCGUCUGAUUAGCUAGUUGGUGAGGUACGGCUCACCAAGGCGACGAUCAGUAGCCGACCUGAGAGGGUGAACGGCCACAUUGGAACUGAGACACGGUCCAAACUCCUACGGGAAGCAGCAGUGGGGAAUAUUGCACAAUGGGGGAAACCCUGAUGCAGCAACGCCGCGUGAACGAUGAAGGCCUUUGGGUCGUAAAGUUCUGUUCUAGGUGAUGAAAACUGACAGUAACCUAGGAGAAAGCCCCGGCUAACUCCGU